UACGUAGGGCGCAAGCGUUGUCCGGAAUUAUUGGGCGUAAAGAGCUCGUAGGCGGUUUGUCGCGUCUGCUGUGAAAGCCGGGGCUCAACCCCGGGUCUGCAGUGGGUACGGGCAGACUAGAGUGCAGUAGGGGAGACUGGAAUUCCUGGUGUAGCGGUGAAAUGCGCAGAUAUCAGGAGGAACACCGAUGGCGAAGGCAGGGUCUCUGGCUGUUACUGACGCUGGAGGAGCGAAAGCAUGGGGAGCGAACAGGAUUAGAUACCCCGGUAGUCC
This 273-nucleotide ribosomal RNA is filed under the name uncultured bacterium. RNAcentral's name for it is "partial 16S ribosomal RNA". It matches the Rfam family "Bacterial small subunit ribosomal RNA", at positions 524 to 796 of the family's 1533-position model. The record is from RNAcentral.